UCUCCGUAGGUGAACCUGCGGAGGGAUCAUUACAUAGUUCAUGCCCUACCGGGUAGAUCUCCCACCCUAUGUUAUUAUUACUUUGUUGCUUUGGCGGGCCGUUAGGCUCCGGCCCGACUACCGGCCCCGGCUGGUAAGCGCCCGCCAGAGGGCCCAAAACCCUGAAUAUUAGUGUCGUCUGAGUACUAUAUAAUAGUUAAAACUUUCAACAACGGAUCUCUUGGUUCUG
This 229-nucleotide unclassified non-coding RNA is filed under the name plant metagenome. Its description in RNAcentral is "partial contains small subunit ribosomal RNA, internal transcribed spacer 1, and 5.8S ribosomal RNA". The record is from RNAcentral.